CCUACGGGAGGCAGCAGUGAGGAAUAUUGGUCAAUGGACGCAAGUCUGAACCAGCCAUGCCGCGUGCAGGAAGACGGCUCUAUGAGUUGUAAACUGCUUUUGUACGAGGGUAAACGCAGAUACGCGUAUCUGUCUGAAAGUAUCGUACGAAUAAGGAUCGGCUAACUCCGUGCCAGCAGCCGCGGUAAUACGGAGGAUUCAAGCGUUAUCCGGAUUUAUUGGGUUUAAAGGGUGCGUAGGCGGUCGGAUAAGUUAGAGGUGAAAUCCCGAGGCUCAACUUCGGAAUUGCCUCUGAUACUGUUCGGCGAGAGAGUAGUUGCGGUAGGCGGAAUGUAUGGUGGAGCGGUGAAAUGCUUAGAGAUCAUACAGAACACCGAUUGCGAAGGCAGCUUACCAAGCUACUUCUGACGUUGAGGCACGAAAGCGUGGGGAGCAAACAGGAUUAGAUACCCGGGUAGUC
This 460-nucleotide ribosomal RNA is filed under the name uncultured bacterium. Its description in RNAcentral is "partial 16S ribosomal RNA". It matches the Rfam family "Bacterial small subunit ribosomal RNA", at positions 338 to 795 of the family's 1533-position model. The record is from RNAcentral.